RNAcentral lists this unclassified non-coding RNA (348 nucleotides) under Hevea brasiliensis (rubber tree). The record is from RNAcentral. Lineage: Eukaryota; Viridiplantae; Streptophyta; Magnoliopsida; Malpighiales; Euphorbiaceae.
GCAAAGUCAAAAGAAAGUGUAAAGCAGUUGACACAGGAGAUUUCAUUGUUGAGCCGAUUAAGACAUCCAAAUAUUGUCCAGUAUUAUGGCUCAGAGAUGGUUCCUGAUAAACUAUAUAUCUACUUGGAAUAUGUAUCUGGUGGGUCCAUUUAUAAGCUUUUACAAGAAUAUGGUGCAUUUGGAGAAGCAGCGAUCCGUAGUUAUACUCAACAAAUCUUAUCAGGGCUUGCAUUUUUACAUGCUAAAAACACAGUGCAUAGAGAUAUUAAAGGAGCAAAUAUUCUUGUUGAUCCAAAUGGGCGCAUAAAGCUAGCAGACUUUGGAAUGGCAAAACAUAUCACAGGGCAG